RNAcentral lists this long non-coding RNA (428 nucleotides) under Manihot esculenta (cassava). Its description in RNAcentral is "long non-coding RNA (MESC_LNC005208)". Lineage: Eukaryota; Viridiplantae; Streptophyta; Magnoliopsida; Malpighiales; Euphorbiaceae. The record is from RNAcentral.
GCCAUUAUGUAACGCAACACAUCACAACUAAUCACAUCUCGGAUGGUAUUGUCACCAAUAGUCCUCUACAUAGUCCAACUGUGCCGGGACGUAGAAUGGGUACAACCGGUCUUUCUCUUAACAUAACAUAUCAUACAGUCCAACUGUGCCAGGGACGUAGAAUGGGUACAACCUGGACUUCCUCUUACAUCGUGCCAGGGACGUAGAAUGGGUACAACCUGGACUUCCAUACCAUAUCAUGCCAUAACAUCAUCAUAUCAUAUGAGGACUAAAGGAUCAUCCAAUGACCAAUCCACAUCAACAUCAUAAAUGUAAUGCAACAUAUUCGUGAAUACUAAUGCAAGCAACCUACUAUAUCUCAUGGCGUUCAUGAUGCAUGGAUCAUGCUCAAAAUUCAUAUUUCAUUUAUUUUAAAACUUAAAGUUUAU